Ahaetulla prasina is the source of this 5340-nucleotide RNA transcript. It is a transcript of the gene named asparagine synthetase domain containing 1, with no coding region annotated. Lineage: Eukaryota; Metazoa; Chordata; Lepidosauria; Squamata; Colubridae. The record is from RefSeq and is a predicted model, not a curated record. The transcript has 6 exons.
CCAAGCACUACUAAGGGAAGGGGGGGAAGGGUCAAAGUUGCCUGAUAAAGAAGAGCUGAACAGAAAGAAAGUAUACAGACAACAACCAAACAGCAACAUAUUCUUUCUAGCAGACAAAACUCAAACUCUCUCCGAAUGCAAAAUUACUUUAGAUGAACUAAAGAAGGCUCAUCAAGAAAUAGAGAACUCAGAAAAGACCAAGACCAAGAAAUAAAUAAGUCCAGUACAAGUUGACAAUGUGUGGAAUUUGCUGUGUGAUCAGUUUAUCUGCUUAUACCCCUGGAAGUUGUAUCUUGAAAGAAGAUAUCCUAAAUAAUCUUAAAAGAAGGGGGCCUGAUAGAAGCCAACAAUUGGAAAAGACUGUUCUUCAUCUUCCAUAUUGGUGCUUAUUUUCUGGCCAUGUACUUCAUUUAAGGGGGACAAUGACUCCACAGCCAUUGGAAGACUCUGGUAAUGUAUUCCUUUGGAAUGGAGAAAUCUUCAGUGGAAUUUCUGUGGAAAGGGAAGAGAAUGACACUCAAGUUAUUUUUCGCCGACUCUGCUCUUGCAAUAGUGACUCUGAUUUUUUGACAGUGCUGUCCUCCAUUCAAGGUCCAUGGUCUUUUAUUUUUUAUCAGGCAUCCAGGCAUUGCUUAUGGUUUGGCAGGGACUACUUUGGCCGUCGAAGUCUGCUGUGGCAGUUUAAUAAAGAGAGUGAUGCUGUUCUUGUACUGAGUUCUGUUAGUUCUGCCUCUCAUAAUCUGUGGCUGGAGGUUCCCGCAUCAGGGAUUUUUCAGAUGAAUCUGCAGGAUUGUGUUGCUCAUAAAUCGAUUACUUUAAUGUUACAUCCUUGGAGAUUUCCUCCCAGACAAAAUGUAGUUGGAGAAGUAAUCCCUGGAGAUUUAAACGUAGUGUCUAAAUCUUUACCUGCUUACGUGUCUCUUGUGAUGAAUACAUCCACUUCUUUGAUAGCUCCAAUCAUUCCUUUAAAUAAGGAAAUUUCUGACAUGACAGUAGAAUCCCAAAUAUUUAGUUUUCCCUCGACUGUAGCUGAUGUGGAAGUUCUUCAAAAAUUUCUUGCAGAACAUCACAGGAAGGAAAGAGUCCAUCAGUUUAUUGAUGUAUUGAGUAGAGCUGUAAAGAAACGGGUUUUAUGCCUAAUGAGAAACAGUGAUCCAAUCAGAGGCGAAAUAUCAGAUAAAGAUCUGAAGAACUCCUAUAUUGCCAUACUUUUUUCUGGUGGCCUUGAUUCCAUGAUUAUAGCUGCCCUUGCUGACAGGUAUGUCCCGUUGGAGGAACCAAUUGAUCUUCUCAAUGUGGCCUUCGAGGUUACAGGCCAAGGUAACCAAAACAGUUCCAUUAAAAAACUCAGCAAAGAGAAGAAACAAUUUCCCCAUUGUCAGGAAUGUUUAAAUGUCAAGAACGCUGCGACCAGUGACUCUUCUCCUUCUUUUAAUGCUCCUGAUAGAAUUACUGGCAAGGCAGGAUUAGAAGAAUUAAAGAUAAUUAAUCCUUCAAGAACUUGGAAUUUUGUGGAAAUCAAUGUUACACUCGAGGAUUUAAAAGCAAUGAGAGUGAAACAUAUAAGACACUUAAUUUAUCCACUGAAUACUGUUUUGGAUGACAGUAUAGGUUGUGCCGUGUGGUUUGCUUCCAGAGGAGAGGGUGUGCUUAUCAAUCAGAGAGCCAUUCAACCAUAUAAAAGUCCUGCAAAGAUUGUCCUUACAGGAAUUGGAGCAGAUGAACAACUUGCAGGCUAUUCCAGACACCGUGUUUGCUUCAAAAAAAGUGGUUUUGAGGGUUUGACUGAAGAAUUAAGAAUGGAAUUAAGUCGUAUUUCUUCUAGGAAUCUGGGUCGAGAUGAUAGAGUUAUUGGAGAUCAUGGCAAAGAAGCUAGAUUUCCCUUUCUUGAUGAAGAGGUUGUGUCAUUUCUUAACUCGCUUCCUGUAUGGGAAAAAGCAAACUUGGCUCUACCUCGUGGGAUCGGAGAAAAAUUGCUCUUGCGUCUAGUAGCUGUUGAGCUUGGUUUGACAGCCUCUGCUGUUUUGCCCAAACGGGCCAUGCAAUUUGGUUCUCGAAUUGCAAAACUGGAAAAUACAAGUGAAAAGGCAUCAGACAAAUGUACAAGACUUCAGACAGCUUCAAGAGAAUAAUUUUAGAUAUAGAUAUAGAUAUACACAGCAGUCCACAGCUACUUUUUUUAAGAGACAUAAUUUUUUACUAAACAAACUUCAAAGACCUUGGAUACAGUUACAUUAGGAUCAGGAAUCUGCACAUUUAAUUGGAAAUAAGCACCAGAAGCUUUCUAUUAUUUCUCAAAAUUUUAUACAUAGGAGCAAGGGCUUACAGGUAAGAGGUUCCACAAUAGAAACCUGAAACUACUCAAGUGAUUAAGAGUUAAUGGCCCUCGACUCUCAGUAAGAAUAAAGGACCAGGAAUAUGUUGUAGUAUUUUCUUUUAUGAUUUAUUUGUAAUACUAUAUUCCUACUCUGUGAUAUCCAAAACCCAGACAGUCAUAUGAACAAAACUUAACAAGCUAUUGUUUGUUUCUCUAAAUAAAAUAUUCAUUGUACACAAACUGUAUGCCUAUACAGACUGCUGCUAUUCUGUAUCUGGACAAGAAACAUAAAGUAAUAAUGGCAUGUUUGUAAGCUACAGUCUACUUUUCCAUUUAGAAUACUUUUCUCUUAUGCUCUAGUUUUUAAAAUGAUUUUACCUUUUAUUUAAUUCAAUAGCAAUAGAGAAAUUCAAACUACAAAGAGCAAAGCAUUUGUCAUCUUUAUUCUGGAUAUUUUCAUUAUCUAUCCAGUAUUCAUCAGGAGAAUCCUCAGAAUCCCAGCUAUUGUUUUGAGAGAAUGUUUAUUAAUGUAUAGUUCUAAAUCUGUUAGCUUUUUCACUAUUGGCUCUUCCUUUUUGGAUUGUAAAUGAAAUUUUAAUGUCUAAAAAUCUCAUGCAUCUUCUAUCAUCCAGUGUCUUUAACAAAGUGUGAUCACUAGUUAUCUUUUAUCUCUGCCGGACAAAGCAAUGAGCAACAAUAUGUGAUGCCAGCUCUGUAGCAAUCUAUUCAGUCAUCUUGAAGGUCCCCACGUUUUUUAAAAAAAACUUAUGCCAUGUGCUAUUACUGGGAAAACUUAGCAUGAAAUAAAGACUCUCUCUUUACUCCCAAAAGAUGUAAAUUCACCAGUAGUAGGAUUCUUUUACUGUUCUAUGGUAUCCAUAGUGACAGUCUUUGCUUUCUACUCUCUUUUUCACCACACGACAGCUGAGGAUGUGAGCUGGAGGCUCUCUAGUCUUGGGACAAAAGGCAAGCCUCUCACUUAUUCAUGGAUUUACAUGUGUAGAUUUGUAUUUCAGUCACCUUGCUUAUCUAGGACUGAGUUUCCGGAGACCUAUUAGAAUUUUUCUUUUUUUCUGGUUUCUGUUAGUUCUAUUCCCUGAUUUGGCAGAGGUAGCCUUUAAACGGUUAGGGAGUAUCAAAGGGGCCUUACUGCUUUUUCUUCCUUCUCUUUUCAGUCAGGAUGCAUAAAGAACACGAAGAAAGUAGGUUUCUCUUUUCACUCUCCUCCCUUCCCUCAGGCUGAAGUAAAAAUGAUACUUAAAAGUGUUUGACGAUUUCUGAUCAGAUCAAGGACCGAAGGAAUCGGCUUGACUAUGGUAGCGAUAUACAUGACUCUAAUCUACAGCAUGUAUAUCACUAGACAAUCCUCCAAGUCAUUGAUGAAGAUGUUGAAGAGUACUGGGCCUAAAACAGAGCCUUGGGGUACUCCACUGCAUACUUCCCUCCAUGUGGAUGUAGUUCCGUUGAGGACUACACGUUGAGUGCGGUUGGUCAGCCAGUUACGAAUCCAUCUGAUGGUGGUGCUGUCUAACCCACAUUUUUCUACUUUAUCUAGUAGUAGGUUAUGGUCUACUUUAUCAAAUGCUUUACUGAAGUCCAAGUAAAUUAUAUCGACAGCAUUCCUCUGGUCUACUAAUUUUGUCAUUUUGUCAAAGAAUGCGAUAAGAUUAAUCUGGCAUGAUCUGUUUUUGACAAACCCAUGUUGGCUUUUGGUUAUUACUUUGUUUGCUUCUAGGUGUUCGGUGAUUCGUUGCUUGAUUAUCUUUUCCAGAAUCUUCCCCGGUAUUGAGGUCAGGCUGAUAGGUCUGUAGUUUCCUGGGUCUGUUUUUUUUUCCUUUUUUGAAGAUGGGAACUACAUCAGCUCUUUUCCAGUCCUCUGGCAGCUCCCCUGUGCUCCAGGAUCUUUGAAAGAUAUAGUUCAGUGGUUCUGAGAUCACGUCUGCCAGUUCCUUCAGAACCUUGGGGUGUAAUCCAUCCGGUCCUAGUGAUUUGAACUCGUCUAGGGUAGACAGGUGUUCACUUACCAUUUUCUUCCCUAUCUCCAGACACAGUGCCCCAUUUGUGCUUCAGUUAGCUUGAAGUAUUUUUGAAUCUCAUACAGUGUUGAUUAUAAGUGAAUGUGGUAUGGGGCUUUCCUGAACAUUCACUGCAUACCUACUGUAUGGUGUUGCUUUCUCUUUUUUAAAUGCAAAAUUUCUAAAUCAAUGUUAAUUAUUGUGGAACAAUUGAAAGAUUCCAAGAGUCAUAAAAAACAAAGCUGUAGGCUCCCUCUCAAGCCAUUAUCAAAUAAAUAAACAAAUAAAUAGCCAUUAUCAAUAUAGUUUCAGUUCCCUAGAAUAUCUUUUGGUCACAAAAUGAUUUAAAAAAUGGAAGUAUACUAAAAGUUCAUUGAUUUUAAUAGCUAUAUUAAAGUGCUGUUUAUCUCCUAUUAAAACAAUUUUUUUUUGUUCUGUUCAUAGUCUAUUAUAGGCAGGUUUUAUUCAAAUCAUUUCACUUCCAGUUCAAAUAUUCAACUUUAGAUUACAUGGAAAGUGUUACUGUUUUGCUCCUGUUCAUAUUAAAAUAUGACCACGCUACUCACUAAUUCAAAUAAUAUAAAGUUAAACUAAUAAACUCUAAAUUAAAAAGUAUAGAACCUGACUCAAAUCUCAGUGCAGCAAUGUAUAAAUAAUGUUUUAAACAUAAUGAUGUUUCCAGGCAUUAUAGCUGAAUAAUAGGCAUCAUCUAAGAAAAAUGAGAGAGAUAGGGCAUACAGAACAAUUCCUAAUGUCCCAAUUUCCCUAUGUAAAAUAAGGCAGUUUGUACAGAUUCUCUUUGUGUUGAUUUAGAUGCAUAUUGAAAUACCCAUUGGAGCCAGGGUUCAUAGCCAUAGCUUCAUUCCUUUCAUUCAUAUAUAAUUAAGGCACAACACAAGAGACAUCCACAGAGAGGGCUAAAAUGUUAAGAUUGCUACUGCAACACCACCUCUGAAGCCCCAUCUCUUUUUUUAUGUGUAUUGCACAAGGUGGUUGUUGUCAUCCUGA